Sorex araneus (European shrew) is the source of this 105-nucleotide small nuclear RNA. The record is from RefSeq and is a predicted model, not a curated record. Lineage: Eukaryota; Metazoa; Chordata; Mammalia; Eulipotyphla; Soricidae.
UCAUUUGAAAGUAUUAAGUAUAUUAAAAUUGGAACGAUACAGAGAAGAUUAGCAUGCCCCCUGCGCAAGGAUGACACGCAAAUUCGUGACAGAGACCCCACGGCG